This 394-nucleotide ribosomal RNA is filed under the name uncultured bacterium. Its description in RNAcentral is "bacterial SSU rRNA". It matches the Rfam family "Bacterial small subunit ribosomal RNA", at positions 29 to 414 of the family's 1533-position model. The record is from RNAcentral.
AACGAACGCUGGCGGCGCGCCUAAUACAUGCAAGUCGAGCGAGAAGACGUAGCAAUACGUUUGUAAAGCGGCGAACGGGUGAGGAAUACAUGGGUAACCUACCCUCGAGUGGGGAAGUAACUAGCCGAAGGUUAGCUAAUACCGCGUACGCUCCUUGGACUUCGGUUCAGGGAGGAAAGCGAUACCGUGGGUAUCGCGCUCUUGGUUGGGCUCAUGUCCUAUCAGCUUGUUGGUGAGGAACGGCUCACCAAGGCUUCGACGGGUAGCUGGUCUGAGAGGACGAUCAGCCACACUGGCACUGCGACACGGGCCAGACUCCUACGGGAGGCAGCAGUAAGGAAUAUUGCGCAAUGGGCGAAAGCCUGACGCAGCGACGCCGCGUGGGGGGAGUGAA